CAGUAGCCGCGGUAAUACGUAGGGUGCAAGCGUUAAUCGGAAUUACUGGGCGUAAAGCGUGCGCAGGCGGUUAUAUAAGUCAGAUGUGAAAUCCCCGGGCUCAACCUGGGAACUGCAUUUGAGACUGUAUGGCUAGAGUGUGUCAGAGGGGGGUAGAAUUCCACGUGUAGCAGUGAAAUGCGUAGAUAUGUGGAGGAAUACCGAUGGCGAAGGCAGCCCCCUGGGAUAACACUGACGCUCAUGCACGAAAGCGUGGGGAGCAAACAGGAUUAGAUACCCCGGUAGUCCCUGUCUCUUAUAC
RNAcentral lists this ribosomal RNA (301 nucleotides) under uncultured bacterium. RNAcentral's name for it is "partial 16S ribosomal RNA". It matches the Rfam family "Bacterial small subunit ribosomal RNA", at positions 509 to 807 of the family's 1533-position model. The record is from RNAcentral.